AGCGAACGCUGGCGGCAGGCCUAACACAUGCAAGUCGAACGAACUCUUCGGAGUUAGUGGCGGACGGGUGAGUAACACGUGGGAACGUGCCUUUUGGUUCGGAAUAACUCAGGGAAACUUGUGCUAAUACCGAAUGUGCCCUUCGGGGGAAAGAUUUAUCGCCAUUAGAGCGGCCCGCGUCUGAUUAGCUAGUUGGUGAGGUAACGGCUCACCAAGGCGACGAUCAGUAGCUGGUCUGAGAGGAUGACCAGCCACACUGGGACUGAGACACGGCCCAGACACAACGGGGGGGAGGGGGUGGGGAAUCUGGAGAAGGGGGAAAAAGUCGAACGCACCAAGGCCGGGGGAAGAAUAAAGUUCUAGGGGUAAAAAAAUUUUUCCACGGGGGAGAAAAAGGAGGUAACCGGAAAAAGAGGCCCGGAAAAACUUGGGC
RNAcentral lists this ribosomal RNA (433 nucleotides) under uncultured bacterium. RNAcentral's name for it is "partial 16S ribosomal RNA". It matches the Rfam family "Bacterial small subunit ribosomal RNA", at positions 30 to 508 of the family's 1533-position model. The record is from RNAcentral.